RNAcentral lists this ribosomal RNA (253 nucleotides) under uncultured bacterium. RNAcentral's name for it is "partial 16S ribosomal RNA". It matches the Rfam family "Bacterial small subunit ribosomal RNA", at positions 524 to 776 of the family's 1533-position model. The record is from RNAcentral.
GACAGAGGGUGCAAACGUUGUUCGGAAUUACUGGGCGUAAAGCGCGCGCAGGCGGCGGUGCUGGCCCGGCGUGAAAGCCCCCGGCUCAACCGGGGAGGGUCGUCGGGGACCGCACCGCUUGAGGGCGGUAGGGGCUGGUGGAAUGCCUGGUGUAGUGGUGAAAUGCGUAGAGAUCAGGCGGAACACCCGUGGCGAAGGCGGCCAGCUGGGCCGUCCCUGACGCUGAGGCGCGAAGGCGUGGGGAGCGAACGGG